Saccostrea cuccullata (small rock oyster) is the source of this 428-nucleotide long non-coding RNA. RefSeq lists it as uncharacterized. The transcript has 2 exons. The record is from RefSeq and is a predicted model, not a curated record. Lineage: Eukaryota; Metazoa; Mollusca; Bivalvia; Ostreida; Ostreidae.
UCUAGACUUUCCUUUUGGCUAAUUGUGAUAUACUUCUUUGAAACAAUGGUAAAUAUGUAUGCUUUGUUGAUUUUUUGUCAUAUUUUGUGGUUAUAAUGCACAUUUUUAUUGAUAAUUCAACUUGCAACGAAAUCUUUCAGAGUAAAUUCGGAUUGCGUUCUCAUUUCAGGUUCUACGUAACGCAGUCAGGUGAAUCGACUGGUCCUUUUCAUGCUUAGCGACAUUUAUAUGAAGGUUUACUAAAUUUUGAGAAACACUUGUCAGGACACAAGAUUGAAAGAAAGACGUACUGAAAAACUGCCUGUAAACACAACAAUCAUUAAAGUCAAUGGAUUACCCAGGAACAUCCAAGCAAUAUGAUAUCAGAGACUGGCAAUUUUUAUCACUUGAUGUGGCAGAAAAACCUAAAUAAAUAUUGAAAUGUUCAA